CUCACUUCACUCCCACUCAGCCCACAGUCCUAAAGGCUGGUCUCACUCCCACCGAGGCCCUGCAACAGCACCAAGUCUAUUUCUAGGCAGCCCAUGACCAGGGCUGAGAACUUGCCCCAGACCAUGAGCCUCCCGGCUGAGAAAACAAGUUAACUCACAGUUUUUCAGCAUCUCAGGGAGCCUGCAGCAGUGAUCCAGUUCCUUCAAACUGUCUGUGGAUUCUCUCGGCUUUCCUGGUAUGUGCCUGAGAAAGCAAGUUGACUCAGUUUUUCAGCAUCUCAGGGAGCCUGAAGCAGUGAUCCAGUUGCUUCAAACGUCUGUGGAUUCCCUCGGCUUUCCUGAAAUAGUGAUGCUGUGACACUUCUAAGGCUAGGAUUUAAGAAGCCUUGCAGAGUCCACCAGGGUCCCUUGGAACACAAAUUGUGGGAGAAGCAAUCCCUGAAGAAAGCCAGCCAUUAUGGAAGAAAUCCAACGACCCUGAGACCACUAUGCUGUAAGGAAGACCAAGCCAGCAAAGAAGAAGAAACCAUGUCCGGGUGCGGUGGCUCACGCCUGUAAUCCCAGCACUUUGGGAGGCCGAGGUGGGCGGAUCACUAGGUCAAGAGAAAGAGACCAUCCUGGCCAACAUGGUGAAACCCCAUCUCUACUAAAAAUACAAAAAUUAGCUGGGCGUGGUGGCACGUGCCUGUAGUCCCAGCUACUCGGGAGGCUGAGGCAGGAGAACCGCUUUGAACCUGGGGGGCGGAGGUUGUAGUGAGCCAAGAUUGCACCACUGCACUCCAGCCUGGCAACAGAGUGAAAAAAAAAAAAAAAAAAAAAAAAAGAAGAAGAAACCAUAUGGAGACAGAGAUGCCCCACCAGUACCCAAAUGUCUCAGACAUCACAGGCAUCAGACACAUUAGUAAAGAAGCUGUAAGCCAACCCCAGUUAUUUGACUGGAAUCAUAUGAGGAACCCUAAGUAAGAACUACAUCUCUGAGCUCAUCAAGGCCACAGAAUGGUGAGAGGUAAUCAUAAAUGGUUGUUUUAAGCCACAAAGUUCAGGAGUAGAUGGUUAUAUGGAAUAAAUAACUACCAGAGGUGUCUAACUUUCAUUCAAUCACUGACUCUUUCAUUCAGCAAUUGUUUAUUGAACACUUUAUGUGCAGCAACUUGCAAGGCACUAGGAACAAGAAUGAAUAAGACAGGCCCAACCCCUACUACUUUUAUGGGGUUGACGGUCUUUUGGAAAGGCAUUGAAAAAUUGGUUGAUUGAUCAUUUCAACUUCUAAUACCUGUUCCCCUGUGCUCACUCUAAGCUGGUGACUUUUCUCAUUUUUCAUUGAGACUUUAGAAAUAAUCAGAAAGGAACUCCUUCAUCAACCUAGAAUGUAGACUCCUAACCUACCAGCAUCUAUGUAAAAUUCUCCACCUUUUCUUUUCUCUGGAUGAAGUGUCUCCAGAGAUUCCCCGUCCACUUGAGCUCUGGAUCCCAUCCCCUUAACAAUGACUUCUCUAUCACUUUCAUCAGAAAGCAAACAUGCUCCAGAUGAUCUCAACCAGGAUCCCAGCUUGAAUACCAUCUUUGGGCUGAUGGUCCUGGAACCCAUGUCUCCAGCCUUGAUCUAUCUGCAGAACCACAGACUUUUAUAUAUUCAGCCUUCUACUUGGCCCCUCAGCUUAGAUAUCUGAUCUAUCUCAAACUUAGCAUGACCCAAAUAGAACGCCAGAUGUUUCACCUGCAACCUACCCCCUCUCACAUUCUUCCCUACCCCCAUAAAUGGCCUCUUCACCAAUUCUAUUUCUAAAAUAGAUAAGUUAUCCUUAUUUUCUUUCUCCCCAUUCCCCCCACAUCCAACCCAGUAGGCAGUCCUAUUGACUCUACCUUCAAAACAUAUCCUGAAUCCACCCACUCCUCUUCAGCUUCAGCAUUUCUAUCCUGGUCCAAGCCACCAUCCUCUCACUGAAUUGCUGAAAUUUCAAGCCUCCUAACUUGCCUGCCCCAUUUCACUCUGACCCACACAAUCUGAGCCUCCUCUUCGUAUGGGUGGCUGACUGGAAACAUCCAAAGGGCACUGAAAAGGAUGUUAACAUUCUACUAGGUUUUAGAACAGGCCUAAAGUGAGAUACACUGCAUGACUCAUAGCAAAUUACUCUAAAAUCCCUCUCUAGCCAUCCAUGCCUGUUUCCAGGGCAGCCACUCAGAAAUCUCUCCUGGCUCCUUUCCCCACCCUUUCUUUGCUAACUCUCCCGCUAAACUCCUCCAGCGUUGGCUAUUUCCCUCUCCCCUCCCCACUUCUGCUCAGCUCUUCACUAAGGAGACCCAAUUAGCUUUCUAGGUCUCCUUCAAUUCAUUUUUUAUUCCAAGCAGCAACACAAAGCCAGGCUGUAAGACCUCCUUAGAAAGAAAGGGGGAGGUUGCAAACAUUUGUUAUAUUAUUCUGUUUCUUUUUCACCCAGUCACAAAUUCUCUCUAGGGAAAACUUUUCUGUUCUCUGAAAUGAGGACAUCAUACUCUCUGGGUCACCUUCCAGACACCCCAGCAUACUUCCCCCAAUCCUUUUCUCCUAUUGGAUUCAGCCAGGUUCUGCUCUGACAUAGGCCUUGUGGGGGUGGGGUAGAGGGCACUACUGAGGUUGCUGGUGAGGACCAAGUCCUCUAGACUUUCUCCUAGAAAAGUGACUUUCACACUUUUCUUUUGCGACUCACUGUAAGAAAUACAUUUCACAUCUCACCCAAGUGCACAUAUGUGUACACACACACAUCUGAAGCAAAAGGUUAAUAUUACUUAACCUUCACUCUGAUAUUUUCUAUUCUCUGUAUGUCAUUUCAAAAUGGUACUAAUCAUCUUUUAGUGAUACAUACCAAAAUAUUUACUGAUGAAAUGAUAUGAGGUCUGGAGCUUGCUUCAAAAUCUGUGAGACGACUGGUGAAACAAGAUUGGUCAUGAGUUGAUCAUAUCAAACUGGGUGAUAGGCACGUGGGAGUUUGUUAUACUAUUCCAAUAUUUUAUAUAUUUGAUAUCUUUAAUAAUAAUAAAUUUAAAACAAAAGAAAAUUAUUGGUCAUGCCCCACUAAAUUGAUUUCAGAACCCACUAAUAGGCCAAGAACUAGUUUGUAAAGUACCUUCUAGAAAAAUCUAGGAGUUGGGAAGUUUAAAAUUAGAUGGCAGGGAAACAAAUCUACAGUUAAAUUUAAUCUAAUGCUCUCUUUCUACCCCACCCCCUAAUGAAGUCUAUUUCUUCUUCCAGGGUUAGGAGGUAGGAUAUUUACUGAGUUUUCUGCCACCCUCAGAGUAUGGUUUCAUAUCAGAUGUCAUUAUUUGCCAAAACUGAAACAAAGAGGUGAUCUCCACCCACCAAGAUUCAAGCCAGUUUCUCAUGAACUGCAGUUUCCUAGACAUCAGGGGAUUUGUCCCUGGGGGCCACAGGGCCAGCCACCUGGGAGAUUCUAUCUGUGAGCAACCCAGUCAUGUUGGAAGCAAACUAAGGGAUAUUGUCUGUGACCAAAGUCCUGGAAAGGAUCUGGUAGGAUCCUGGGCUGGGCAAGAAAGGCUGCUCAGUCUCUCCUCUACAGCCAAGCUGUUCACCACUUCUGGCUCAUCAGCUGCUCCCUGUUGCUUUCCUGGUGUUCUCUGAUGACCUCCAUGAUCACCCCAUGCUCUUCUUAUUUUUUAAUUAGUUUCAUGGAAGUAAGAGCUCAGGCAGCCCUUUAGUUUGUGGCCAAAUAUAAGGUUGUUUGGUAUCUCUUGGUCACAAGGUUUUCCUGAACAAGCCUCAACUCUGCUUCUCCAGAGCUCUCCAUUGUGCUGAGUGGAUGCCUCAGCCGCCUCUUGUGUCUGAAAGCACACAUGAACCAUUUCUCUAUUCCCUUUGCUAGGUAGCUAUGAACUCUACCUAGAAAUCCCACUUUGGUUAAAAAAAAAAGUCUUUCCAUAGCUAAAGCAACUCUGUCACAAAAACAAAGGCCCCGCGAAUUUUGAGUUCACAAUGCUGACUUGGCAAACCCAAUCUUUUCCCCACCUGAGGCCUGUCACCUUCAUAACUCAAGGUUCCCUUCUCCCAUCUGGCCCACAGUUUCGGUAGUUUCUGCAAGCAAAUAAUUCCUACUUGUGGUUUCUAAACCCUUAUCAAUUGAAACACCACAGCGGCCCAGUUCCCAGUGGAUCCCAACACUAUUAUCGUCCAUAUGGAUAAAAAUGAAUAUGGUUCAGGGAGGAAAAACACAAUGAAAAGAUGGUAAAGACAGUCAAGGCAGUUCUGUCUGGUGUCUGUUUUAAGUGGGGAAAAAAAAGGAGGUAAUCAUUGCAUUCCAUCUAGACAUGACAGUGAGAUUUACUGGAAGUAUUUCCAGUUGUGUUCAUCUGCCAACCCUCCAGGAAUGCUUGAUAAAGUUUAUAUUUGAUGUCAAGUUGCCAGCCACCUGGGAUAUGAUCUCCAUAGUUGAGGUUAUGUUUAUGAAAAAAGGCAAGCUCCCAGUUGAGGAAGGAUGGGCAUCACCUAUUGCCUGUAACAGAGAAUGUGAUCCCAUAUACUAUUUAGACCAGAAGGCUAUAAAGCUCAUUCUGAGGCUGACUCCACCAUCCCAGCUUUCCUGAAAGGUAUCUACCGGGUAGUGAUAGACCUGUCUCGUGAGGACUCUGGUUAUGGGGCUUCUGACAUUGUACCUGCAACACCCAUUGACCUGUCAGAUCUUCUGAGUGGGGACUGGCAUAAAACCGCAUCAACAUCUUUCCUGGAAACCAUCAGCAAGAAAACCCAAGCCCGAGUCCUCUGACUCCUAAACAGAAACAUGGAGAAGGAGGCCCCUAAAUGCACUAUUGAAUUCUAAGAUUACAUAAACAACACUGCAGAAAGAUACUGCUAACUUAUAAAAGUAUGGACCUCCUGGAAGAAAUUAAAAGCAAUCCCAAUUUCCAUAAAAUGUACUAUUAAAAGGUUGCUAACAUCCUUCUUAAUAACCUGCAUACAUAAAUAGCUGAUUCCAGUGGUAACCUUCCUUACCAAAUUGGAAAAUGUGUCAGUCUACCAUGGCGGGAUGACAGUGAACUUUAUUUUAUUUACUGUAAUUCUCUCCUGGAACCUAUUUCUCAUCCUGCCUUUGGGUUGCUAUCAACAGCUCUCUUGGAGACUCCCUGGUUGCGAAGCCCUCAUGAAGCCUCAGUUCCUCCAAUUGGCUGAGAAAACUGACCCAUUCACAGUGACUCUGAGGAGUAAGACUCUGAACCCUGGUUAAAAAAAAAAAAUCAUACCCACUCAAAAAGAUGCUUCUAUAAGCCAUGACAUGGUGAUGCUGCUGCUUCUAAAAUGCACACUAGUCCAGCUUUUCUGGGGUCUCUAGCCACCAGAGAUGGGGACAAGGUCUGGUCUAGGACUAGGCCACAGUACAGUCCCUUGGUAUCAGGAAGCCCCGCUGUCAGAGUCUUUCAUCACUACAGCAGACAAUGGUGUUACCAGACGGUGUUGCUGGAUGACCACACAGUGUCAGAGGAACAGCAGUCUGAGUGGUGAGACUCAGGAACCCACUGGCACUCCUUACACUCCUUACACUACCUACCCCAUGAUGUGUGCCCCUGACUUCCUUUUCUUUUCUGAAAUGGAUUCACAUUUCCUGAAAAAAACUUAUCUUUAUGGAGGCUCAAAUAAAAAUUUUUUAAUAAAAAACAAACAAACUGUAUUUAGCCUAUAAGCUGACGAGGGAGUGGAUAGUCUCAAUCUAAAGCUGUCUCAAAGUCCCCGUGCAAGUGUGACUCGAUAUCCAUUCACCCAACUCUGGGUCAGACAUUCUUAACAAAGAUUGGUUCUGCAGUUUUAGAGUGGGUUCCAUCACUUCCUGAUGAUUCCAAGGUGCUGCUCCAUGAGGAGAUCUGCUGAGACUGCAUGCACAUCAUUUGCUUUGCACAUCAGUUUGCUGGCAGACCCUCUUGCUGAAGGUGCCCAUGAAGUUCAGUUCUGUGGGGACAUUUAACUAUAUUUACAAAUAAAUAUGUAUGUUUAUCUGGAACUGAGAUACUGGUGAGUUGCUGCUACUUCAGGGCCAAGGUCCAGGACACCUUCUCUCAAUUUUGCCUUGUAGGCAACACACAGGAACUAAAACCAAAGAGAAAGGCUGGGAAAGGAUAAGAGAUUGUAACUUAUGUUUUCUUGAUUUCCUUUGCAGCUCGUGGCAGAGAGUUGAGACUUAAGUAAGAGGCAGGGUUACUUUAUGAAUUUAUUUCUUUCUUUUAUUUAUUUAUUUUUUUUUGAGAUGGAGUCUCACUCUAUCAUCCAGGCUGGAGUGCAGUGGCGCGAUCUUGGCUCACUGCAACCUCCACCUCCCGGGUUCUAGUGAUUCUCCUGCAUCAGCCUCCCGAGUAGCUGGGACUAUAGGCGUGUGCCACCAUGCCCGGCUAAUUUUUGUAUUUUUUACUAGAGACAGGGUUUCACCAUAUUGGCCAGGCUGGUCUGGAACUCCUGACCUCGUGAUCUGCGCGCCUUGGCCUCCCAAAGUGCUGGGAUUACAGGCGUGAGCUACCACGCCCGGCCUUCUUCUUCUUCUUCUUUUUUUAAAGUAUUGUUAAAAACUUUUAACUUUUAUUUUAGGUUCAGAGGUAUAUGUGUAGGUUUGUUAUGUAGGUGAACUCAUGUCACAGGGGUUUGUUGCACAGAUUAUUUAAUCCCCCAGGUACUAAGCCUAGUACCCAAUAGUUUUUUCUCUGAUCCUCUCCCUCCUCCCACCCUCCACCCUCAAGUAGGCCCCAGUGUGUGUUAUUCCCCUCUGUGUCCUUGUGUUCUCAUCAUUUAGCUCCCACUUACAAGUGAGAACAUGUGGUAUUUGUUUUUCUGUUUCUGUGUUAGUUAGCUAAAGAUAAUAGCUUCCAGCCCCAUCCAUGUUCCUGCAAAAGACAUGAUCUCAUUCUUUUUUAUGGCUGCAUGAUAUUUCAUGGUGUAUAUGUACAUUUUCUUUAUCCAAUCUGUCAUUGAUGGACAUGUAGAUUGAUUCUUUGUCUUUGCUAUUUCUAAUAGCACUGCAGUGAACAUAUGCGUGCGUGUCUAUGACACAAUGAUUUAUACUCCUUUGGGUAUAUGUAAUGGGAUUGUUGAAGUGUAUGGUAAUUCUGCUUUUAGCUCUUUGAGGAAUUGUUACACUGCUUUCCACAAUGGUUGAACUAAUUUACACUCCCACCAGCAGUGUAUAAGCAUUCCCUUUUCUCCACAACCUUGCCAGCAUCUGUUAUUUUUUGACUUUUUAAUAAUAGCCAUUCUGACUGGUGUGAGAUGGUACCUCAUUGUGGUUUCUCUAAUUGCACUUCUCUAAUGAUAGUGCUAUUAAGCUUUUUUUCAUAUGCUUCUUGGCCACUGUAUUAAUCAGGGUUCUCUAGAGGGACAGAACUAGUAGGAUAGAUAGAUAAAUAUAAAGGGGAGUUUAUUAAGGAGUAUUAAAUUCACACGAUCACAAGGUCCCACAAUAGGCCACCUGCAAGCUGAGGAGCAAGGAAGCCAGUCCAAGUCUCAAAGCUGAAGAACUUGAAGUCUGAUGUUCAAGGGAAGGAAGCAUCCAGCAUGGGAGAAAGAUGUAGGCUGGGAGGCUAAGCCAGUCUGGCCUUUUCACGUUUUUCUGCCUGCUUUAUAUUCUAGCUGAACUGGCCGCUGACUAGAUGGUGCCUACGAAGAUUAAGGGUGAAUCUGCCUUUCCCAGCCCACUGACUCCAUUGUUAAUCUCCUUGGCAACAUGCUUACAGACACGGCCAGGAUCAAUACUUUGCAUCCUUCAAUCCAAUCAAGUUUACACUCAGUAUUAACCAUCCCAGCCACAUAUGUAUCUUCUUUUGAAGAGUGUCUGUUCGUGUCCCUUGCUCACUUUUUAAUGAGGCUGUUUGUUUUUUUCUUGUCAAUUUGUUUAAAUUCCUUAUAGAUGCUGGGUAUUAUUAGACCCUUUGUCAGAUGCAUAGUUUGCAAAUAUUUUCUCCCAUUCUGUAGGUUGUCUAUGUAUUCUAAUGAUAGUUUCUUUUGCUCUGCGGAAGCUCUUAAGUUCAGUUAAAGCCCAUUUGUCAAUUUUUGCUUUUGUUGCAAUUGCUUUCGGCAUCUUCAUUAUGAAAUAUUUUCCAGUUCCUAUAUCUUGAAUGGUAUUGCCUAGCUUGUCUUCCACAGUUUUUAUAGUUUUGGGUUUUACAUUUAAGUCUUUAAUCCAUCUUGAGUUGAUUUUUGUAUAUGGUAUAAGGAAGGAGUCCAGUUUCAGUCUUCUACAUAUGGCUAGCCAGUUAUCCCAGCAUCAUUUAUUGAAUAAGGAAUCCUUUCCCCAUUGCUUGCUUUUGUCAAAUUUGUCAAAGAUCAGGUGGUUGUAGGUGUGAGACCUUAUUUCUGGAUUUUCUAUUCUGUUCCAUUAGUCUAUGUGUUUUUUCUUGUAUUAGUACCAUUGUGUUUUGGUUACUGUAGCCCUGUAGUAUAUUUUGAAGUUGGGUAGUGUGAUGCCUCCAGCUUUGUUCUUUUUGCUUAGAAUUGCCUUGGCUAUUCGAGCUCUUUCUUUGGUUCCAUAUGAAUUUAAAAAUUUUUUUUUCUAGUUCUGUGAAGAAUGUCAUUGGUAGUUUGAUAGAAAUAGCAUUGAAUCUGUAAAUUGCUUUGGGCUGUGUGGCCAUUUUAAUGAUAUUGAUUCUUUUUAUCCAUGAGCAUGGACUGUUUCUCCAUUUGUUUGUGUCAUCUCUGAUUUCUUUGGCAAGUGUUUUGUAAAUCUCAUUUUAGAGAACUUUCACUUCUCUGGUUAGCUGUAUUCCUAGGUAUUUUAUUCUUUUUGUGGCAAUUGUGAAAGGGAUUGUGUUCCUGAUUUGGCUCUCAGCUUGGCUGUCGUUUGGUGUAUAGGAAUGCUAGUGAUUUUUGUACAUUGAUUUUGUAUCCUGAAACUUUGCCGAAGUUGUUUAUCAGCUGAAGGAGCUUUUUGAGUUGAGAUUGUGUGGUUUUUCUCCAUAUAGAAUUAUUUCACCUGCAAACAAGGAUAGUUUGACUACUUUUCUUCGUAUUUGGAUGCCCUUUAUUUCUUUCUCUUGCUCGAUUGCUCUGACCAGGACUAUAUUUAGUACUGUGUUUAAGCAGGAGUGGUGGGAGAGGACUUCCUUGUCUUGUGCCAGUUUUCAGGGGGAAUGCUUCCAGCUUUUGCCCAUUGAGUAUGAUGUUGGCUGUGGGUCUGUCAUAGAUGGCUCUUUAUUAUUUUGAGGUAUGUUCCUUCAAUACAUAUUAUGAAUUUCAAGGGCCCUUAGCACUUUUACUUCCCUGGGCUUCUUCCUUCAUUAAAAAUAUUUGAAAUUAUAUUUUGUCACUGCAUUGCUGUAAAGACAAAUAAUAUUAGUAUGAAAACAUUUUCUUCAACCUAAAAGUUAUUUUUUCUUCUAAUUUUAAAAGAAAUUAAAACAUUUUCACAGACCUCUGAAAAUAGUGUGGAUCUUAGUUGUUGUACCUACUGUGCCUGUUAAGAUAUGCCCAUUAAGUAUCUGUUGAUGGAUGGGUGGAUGGAUGAAUGUUAUAAAAAAGUUAACUUUAGGGGUAAGAACAUGACAUAGAAGAGAGAUGGAGGUAUGAGGAAAUCAUUUACUGUGCUUCCUUCUAUCUGUUCACACUGCCCUGAGCUCCCUGUUCUCAGCCAUGAUGUCUGGAUCUCCAAUUCACUUUGAAGGAUGGGAGCAUUGAUGUGAAGCAUUGAUGUGAAGCUUCAUUUCCCACAUAUAAGUCACCACAACACUAAUACAAGAUUAUAGUUUUCAAAUUUAAAAUAAAAUUAAUUUAAGCACACUGACAGAAAUAUCAAGAAUGAAUUUUGUCUUCAACUACAAACAUCACUGCAGAUGUCAUUAGAAAGACUAUUCUAAAAGAUGUUUAGAAAACUACCUUCAGAAUCUUGGGCCUUAUUAUCAUAAUAUUUUUCAGGUGUUGAUUAAUUGAGUAUCUAGUCUUAUGAUCCACUGAGUCACAAAUAGAAAGACAUAAGAUUGGCAAUGGCUUCUACAAUAUUUCAUAUUUGUUAUUUUCAGAACAUAUCAACAAGAGAAAAUUUAUUAUAGUAUUUUUUGUUGAUGUGGCCCUAAUUUGCUUUUCCCUGCUGUUCUACAGGUCUACAAUGGUGAGAAUCUAAGAUGGAAUCCUGAAAAUCCUAUGCUUUUCAAAAUACAUUUUGAGUUCCCUUUAACCUAACACACAGAUGCCAAGUGGCACAUUUAGCAGUAGACUGGGUGUGUCCUCAAGCAAGGAUGGAGUGGCACACUAGAGAGUUUGAAAAUGGCUCUUAAUAUUGUCAGAACUAAGUUAACUGAGUUAUUAUCUUAGAGCAGCAGUAGGCAAACUACAACCUGUGAGCCAAAUCUGGCCCACCACCUAUUUUUGAUUAGACCAGGAGAUAAAAUGGUUUCUACAUUUUUUCAAUGGUUGGGAAAAAAGCCUAAAGAAAAAUAAUAUUUAGUAACAUGAAAAUUAUAUAAAAUUCAAAUUCCACUGGAAGAAUAAUAUUUAGUGACAUAAAAAAUUAUGUGAAAUUCAGAUUCCAGCAUACAUAAAUAAAGUUUAAUUUGGAACAUAACUAUGUCAAUUUAUUUAUGGAUUAUGGCAGCUUUCAUGCCAAAGAACAAAGUUGAGUAUUUGCAACAGAGAUAAUAUGGCCCACUAAGCCUGAAAUAUUUACUACCUGGCUCUUUACAGAAAACACUUGACCCCUGUCUUGGAGCACAGAAAUUCCUGAAGAAGAUCUGAAGCACCAAGUUUCUUUUAGUAAUCCCACUAUGGGAACUUUUUUUUUUUUUUUUUCAGAUGGAGUCUUGCUCUUGUCACCCAGGCUGGAGUACAAUGGCACAAUCUCAGCUCACUGCAACCUCCACCUCCUGGGCUCAAGCAUUUCUCCUGCCUCAGCCUCCUGAGUAGCUGGGAAUAGUGGUAUUCCCAGCUAAUUUUUUGUAUUUUUAGUAGAGACGAGGUUUCACCAUUUUGGCCAGCCUAGUCUCAAACUCCUGACCUCAGGUGAUCCUCCCGCCUCAGCCUCCCAAAGUGCUGGGAUUACAGGCAUGAGCCAUCGCACCCAGCCCCAUUACAGGAACUCUUAUCCAUGAAUAAUGCAUAAAUCAUAUUGCUAGUUCACCUGUGUUGAUCUUUUACUAUGUGCUGGGCCCCAUGUUAGAUGUUUCCAUUCAUUAUCUCAUUUAAUCUUCACAACCUAGUGAGGUAGAUAAUGUCAACAUCUCUAUUUUAUAGGUUAGAAAAAUGAAGUUCCAGGGAGAUUACCUAACUUGCCCAAAGUCACUCUCAGCAAAUGGCCUACCUGGGAUUCAAACCCAAGACCAUCUAAUGUCAAAGUUUAUGCCCUGAGCUAUGUUAUCACAAUGACUCAAGCCUUUCUUGGCAUUAAGGAUGUUUGUCACUAGUACUUCCCCUCUGAGAAAAGACUGCAUGAAACUUACUAUCUUAGUCUGUUUGGGCUGCUAUGCCAUGGACUGGGUGACUGUAACAACAGAAAUUUCUCAAAAAUUGUGCAGGCAGAAUUUUGGGAGAUACAAAAUCCAGGCAUUGGCAGACCCAGUGUUUGGUGAGGGGCUGUGUCCUGGUGGAGAAAGAGGGAGCAAGCUCUCCCCUGUCUUUUAUAAGGGCACCAACCCCAUCAUGAGAGCUCCAUCUUCAUGACCUAGUUAUCUCUCAAAGGCCCCAUCUCCAAAUACCGUCACACUGAGGAUCUAAGCUUCAACAUAUAAAUUUUACAGGAAUACAAAUAUUCAGUACAUUGCACUUACUAACUACUGUGCAAAGUAAUUCUUCCUUUUAUUUGUCUUAAAUUUGCAACUUUCAAGCUUCCCAUGAGACUGACUCCUGGUGAGUUUGUGUUUAUCUAGUCACAGCUUUCUCUGCUGUAUGUAUUUUAAUCUUAUCCCCCUCUAGGCCUUUUUUCAGGGGAAAUGGAGGGUCUGUGCUUUCUGUAUAUGGAAGUCCCCCCUGCUCUUCUUCAAGCCUGCUAUGAUUUGAUUUCUUUGAAUGCAAUGACCAGAAUAAUACAUGAUAUUUCUAGGUUCAAUAAACUGGCAGGAUAGUGGUUAUUUUCAUUUCCCAUGUCUUCUUAAUGAUUCAUAGCAUUUCACUGUUGUUUUAGUUCAUCUUCUUGGGGCUACAGAAACAAAAUAGGUAAAUGUUUUCAGCUUACAAUUUCCCAAUCAUAUUCCUGGAGCAUAACUUUGCUCAGAGCCAAGCAUCUUAUUAUAUUGCUCACAUUAGUUUUCUCUGAAUAGUUUAAAUAUCAUUUUUCUGCAGAAUUAAAGGUUUUUGGUUCUUAUUCUAGAGAGAAAGGCACAGUACAAAUAGCGUGAGUGUGUGUCCCUGCACUGGGAAAGGCUGACCAGUGAGGCAGGAAAAACCUAUAUUUCUUUAAAAGAAGCAGAACUUCCACAUUUUCCCAAGAGUAACAGAUAUGAUCUAAUCUCUGACAGACUCUGUUCCUAUGACUCAUGACUCUAGAUACAUCUUGUAACAAUCAAGCUUUAUCUUAACAUGGAUGAGAGUAUCUAUCACCUGAGCAAUGCGGAUAAAGCAGAUCUUUUUAAAGGCUUCUGUGUCUUCCAAAGAAGUAGAAACAAUAUUUUGAUUCGAUAUAUCUUAUGCCUGUCUUCUUAAAUAUAUUUUUGCAAAACAUAUAUGUCUGACAGGUUUGUAGGUAAAUUUGCAUGUAAGCUUCAGUGUAAUUGCCAGUUGGUGGUGGGGGGUUGACCCUGACACAGCUCCUAACAGUACAUGUCUAGGCUCUCUAAGGUAAUCAGUCUCACGGGCUGUAUAAUUUGAGAUGAUGCCAUUCAUCAACCUGGCUGAGAAAGACUGUAAUUCCUGCCUGGCAAUUCAUCUCCACAAUGAAAGAUUCUAUUGAUGAGACUCUUUCUGGACAUUCAUGCAACUUUUUCAAAGUCUUCAGUGUUUUUCAUGACCUCUCCCCUCUAUGAUAUUCAUGCUUAUUCUGUCUAGUCAGCUAGUUCCUUUUGUACUAACUUCUCCAGUCUCUUUUUAGAAAACCUAAUAAAAAUUUCACCCACUCUCACUAUUUAACACAUUUCCCAUUCUAUAUGUGUUUUUUUAAUAUAAAAUUAAGUUUAGAAGCCAAGAAAAAUACUUUUGUGAUAAGGGAAACCAAGUGUGUGGUAUCCCUGUUGAUUGUACUGGGCACCUUUCCUCAACCAAGGUGAACAUCACACUGUCCUGAGUUCUCCCAGGUUCCCAACACCUCACGGCAGAAAGAAGAGUGGACCCCUUCUGCCUCCAAGGAAUAAGUAUAAAUUGUGAAGAAUGAAUAAUUAAUUAGGAUAUUGCUUUAGAACUUAUUUUUAUAACUAUUAUAGUAAAUGAAUAUAAUCCAUGUGUGAAGAUAAACAAAAUACAAACAGAAUACAUUUUAUUUGCUUAACAGGAAUCUAUACUAUAGAGUAGAAUCAUGUCUUACCCAGAACAUAGACUCUAAAAUCAAUCUGUAAUAAGAAGGUUACGUAUAAUCCAAUCUUCUCUUAAAAAUAAUCAAACACAGUAUUCAUGGCUUUGGACUUACAACUUUUUGCUGUGUGUGCAGGAUGGACAGAAUAUAAUAAAGAAUACACAUGCCAAAUAUGUUUACAGUGUUUUAUUUCCAUGAAGGUAGUUGAACUGGACUCACAAUAUGCACAUAUUAUGUGAUAUUAUGUGACUCUACUAUAUCUCAUCUCUUCUGAAUAGUAGUAGUAAUGAUGAUGAUGAUCAUGAUGACAAUGAUUAUGCUAAAAUUGUGCAGUAUGGUUACUGGUAGACACUAAAGCCACUGAGAUCAUCACAGUACCGCUCAGAUCUCCUUCCAUGUUGUAGGGUCAACCUUAGCCAAGGACAAAAUGGUGCCAGCUAAGUUCAAAGGUAAACUCAUUUAGCAUAUUUCAAAUGUCUUAAUAUAAUAGCCAACCCAAACUUUUGGAACCUGUGUUCUACUUAUUAUCUUGCUUUCCAUAUAAGCAAGUAAUUUGCUUAUAUGGAAAUCACUUAGUAAUUUCCAUGUCUCAUUAAUAGUCUGAGACUGGACUCAGCACAGACCUGAAGAAACAGCUUUCUUUGGCAUUUCUUCCUGUAACCUCUCCCUGUCAUCAGACACUUCCAUUGACAAGGAAUGUACCCCAGGGUGGGUCUCAUUUGCAGACUUUAGGCUUUACUCUAUAGCUCAACCUCUCAUGUAUUUUGUGAGUGGAGAUUCCCCACCCACCCUACCCUAUGAUUGACUAUGAGAUUGACUUAUAGUCAGUCUCCAUGAGACAGAGAUUAACUAGAAUUACUAAUUCAUCUUCCUUAUUACUCUUCAUUAGAUAAGACAUAAAGAGAAAAAUAGUAAUUAGGUAUUAAUGUUCGUAAUUCACAUAUAGAAGUCAGCUGGAUUACAUUAUCUAGAAUGCACAAACUCCGGGCUUGCUGAAAGGCUAGAGAAUGUGACAAUGUCACACAUUCUUCAGGUGGUCAUAAUUCCACAAAAAGGGGCUUGCUUACUGGGCUUUUUAGAACUGGUACAAUUUUAUCAAUAACAUUUCACAUAUUGACAAACAAUUUAUUUAAACUUGGUGUAGAUAUUGUGUCACAGCAUCAGCCAGUGUUCUCAGAGGAGGAUCCAAAGCAUUUCUGGACAAUCAAAGCUCAGGGACAAUGGAUCAAGGUGUCUGCAAGACCAGGUUUGACCUAAAGCCCAUGGAGCUCACUGGGAGCCCAAGUGAAAAGAGCACUGCCAUUUCCAGGCUCUAAAUGGGUCCUACAGGACAGAGCCUGAAAUUGAACUAAUGCUUAGUUAAAACAAGAGCAACCAGCCAUAUUUGAGGCUUGCAUCAAGGUAAAGGGGCCGUAAAACUGGCAGAGCUUGAAAAAGACAAAGCUUUUAGCCCAUGUCAAAAAUAAUUAUGUAAUGUGAAUCUCUAAUCUUGUAAUUAUCUAUACUAAAUAAAAUACUCUAGAACUAGAAUUAUUUCUAAUUUAUUUCUAAUUAUUUCUGUGUCUAGAAAUAACAGUCUGUGGUCAUGAGCUUUCUAUGCAUGCCAAAUGUGCAGUGAGGUGUUUGUGAGAGGAGAGAUAGGACAAAAGGUUGUAAAUCUCAGGUUUGUAUCUUUUAGAAAAGACCUUCUGGGCCCUUUUCAGAAUUGUGGAAUGUUAGCCAUCACCUAGAGAGACUGCCCUAGAUAGGGCACUUUUAAUACAUUAGGGACCCGAGAAACCAGGAAAAAUCUUACUUUAGGAGAGUAGGUUGCAGGUAGCCCUUGAAACAAAGAAUUUCUACAGUCAAUUUUGGACUCUCCCUGUUUUAUUAAAAUGCAGUAUACAUGUGAACUCUUGCCUAUUUAAAAAAAUUCUGAACCACAGAAUAUCACAAUAAAAAGCCAGAAAGAAGAAGGUAAAAUGAAACCCUGCAUUUUGUCAUGUAGUUAUUCUGGUUUCUACAACAACUGGAGAAGAAACAAAUUAAAAAUUACCAAUGCUUCUUAAACAUUUUCAAAAUUCUUAUGAAAAAUUUUUCUCUAGUUUUACAUCCUUACUGAUUCCCCAAACUGACCUCAUUAUUGAUAAUGUAGUGGAACACAAACAGCGAAAUAUAGUCAUGAAUAUGAAACAUUUGUACUUAAAAAUCUAGUCUGAACCAUCAUAGUUUUAUACACUAUGUUCAUCAAAAUAUAAUAUCACAUGUCAUAAUCUGUCAGAUUUUGGAAAGAAAAAUAUUUUUAUCAAAUAGCGUUAAUCCUUCUUUUUCCUAGUUGAAAUCUUAUUUUUGAAGCAAUUAAUACUUUAUAUAACUCACAUAAUUUGUCAGUUGUUCAGUAGGCCGCCAGGAGGGCAAACCCAAAAUUCAGACCAUAGUGUGGUCUAUCAUUAUCAAAAUUAGUUAUUUUCUCUAGGAAACAGCCUAGUCAAAAAUUAACUUGCCACUUUAUUUUUAAUUGAUACGUAAUACCUGUACACAUUUAUGGGGUACAUGUGAUAUUUUGUUACGUGCACAGAAUGUGUAAUGAUCAAGUCAGGGUAUUUAGGGUACCUAUCACCUCAAGUAUUUAUCAUUUUUAUGUGUUGGGAAUAUUUCAAGUCCUUUCCUCUAGCUGUUUUGAAAGAUACAAUAUAUUGUUGUUAACUAUAAUCACCCUACUCUGUUAUCAAACAUUAGAACUUAUUUCUUCUAUCUAACUGCAUGUUUUUACUCACUGACCAAACUCUAUUCAUUCUUCCAACCCCCAACACCCUUCCCAGCUUCUCGUAACUAUCAUUCAACUCUCAAUCUCCAUGAGAUCAACUUCUGUAGCUCUCAUAGAUGAGUGAGAACAUGUGAUUAUGUGAUAUUUGUUUUUCUGUGCCAAGCUUAAUUUCACUUAACAUAGUAACCUCCAGUUCUAUCCAUGUUGCUGCAAAUAACAUGUGUUUAUUAUUUUUAUGGCCAAAUAGCAUUCCAUUGUGUAAAUAUAGCACACUUUCUUUAUCCAUCCACCUGUUGAGAGACACUUAGGUUGAUUCCAUAUAUUCCAUAUAUUGACUAUUGUGAAUAGUUCUGUAAACAUGACGGUACAGGUAUCUUUCUGAUACACUGAUUUCUUUUCCUUUGGAUAAAUACCCAGUAGUGGGAUUGCUGGAUCAUAUUAUAGUUCUGUUUUUAGUUUUUCUGAUAAAUCUCCAUACUGUUUUUCAUAGUGGUUGUACUAGUUUUUAUUCCUAUCAACAGUGCAUAAGAAUUCCCUUUUCUCCAUAUCCUCACCAGCAUCUGUUAUUUUCUGUCUUUUUAAUAACAGCCUAUUUAACUGGGGUAAGAUGAUAUCUCAUUGCGAUUUUAAUUUGCAUUUCCUUGAUGAUUAGGAAUAUUGAGUAUUUUUUCAUAUACCUGUUGACCUUUUCUGUGUCUUAUUUUUAAAAAUAUCUAUUCAUGUCUUUUGCCCACUUUUUAAUGGGAUUGUUUGGUUUAUUGUUGAGUUGUUUGAGUUCCUUGUAUAUUCUGGAUAUUAGUCUCUGACUGAAUGAAUAGUUUGCAAAUAUUUUCUCCCAUUCAAGAGAUUUUCUCUUUAUUGAUUGUUUCUUUUGCUGUGCAGAAACUUUUUAGUUUAAUCAAGUUCCACUUGUCUGUUUUUGUUUUUGUUUUUGAUACUUGUGCUUUUGGGGUCUUAGGCAUAAAAUAUUUCCCUAGACCAAUGUCCUGAAGUGAUUCCCCUAUAUUUUCUGCUAGUAGCUUUAUAGUUUUGGGUCUUACACUUGCGUCUUUAACAUAUUUUGAGUUGAUUUUUGUGUAUGGUGAGAAAUAGGGGAACAUUCUUUUGCAUAUGGAUAUCCAGUUUUCCCAGCACCAUUCACUUUUUAAAAAAGACAUAUUUAUUCAGCAUCAUGUUCAGACAGACUAUUACAUCUGGCAAUCAACAGCAUGAGUGGAAAAAAUCUACAUUAAACCCCUUUUGUUGGGAUGCUUUACACUUUCCACAGAACAGAAACAUUAAGCUGUUAUACAAUUAGUCACAACUACAUUCCUCAAGUUUUUUUCUAAUACAGAUGAGUAUUGUCUAAAACAUGUCCCUUUUUUUGUGUGUGUGGUAGCUAGGCCCUGCCACCACUGUGCUUGGCCCAGUUCACAAAUCCUCUUGUAACCUAUAGCUUCCUUAUCACUUCUCUAGCUUUCCUCUACUGCUAAGCUUUGUUUCCUGGCAGUAACUAAAAUCUUCUGCUACUGCUGUAGCUAUUGCUGCUACUGGAACCACCACAGCUGCCUUGGUUUUAUGGUUUGGCAAAGUAUUGGCCUCCACCA
RNAcentral lists this long non-coding RNA (17720 nucleotides) under Homo sapiens (human). RNAcentral's name for it is "HSALNT0315263". The record is from RNAcentral. Lineage: Eukaryota; Metazoa; Chordata; Mammalia; Primates; Hominidae.